This 63-nucleotide transfer RNA is filed under the name Escherichia coli. Its description in RNAcentral is "tRNA-Met". The record is from RNAcentral. Lineage: Bacteria; Pseudomonadati; Pseudomonadota; Gammaproteobacteria; Enterobacterales; Enterobacteriaceae. RNAcentral also lists the same sequence under 3 other names.
AAUGGACUUGCCUCAUGACUCAUAAUCGCUUGGUCGCUGGUUCAAGUCCAGCAGGGGCCACCA